This 28-nucleotide non-coding RNA is filed under the name Mus musculus (house mouse). Lineage: Eukaryota; Metazoa; Chordata; Mammalia; Rodentia; Muridae. The record is from RNAcentral.
UCACAUUGGUUCCAUUCUACAACUGCCC